Molecule: ribosomal RNA, 837 nt
Filed under: Pezicula cinnamomea
Lineage: Eukaryota; Fungi; Ascomycota; Leotiomycetes; Helotiales; Dermateaceae
Description: eukaryotic LSU rRNA
Rfam family: Eukaryotic large subunit ribosomal RNA
Source: RNAcentral
CCUUAGUAACGGCGAGUGAAGCGGUAACAGCUCAAAUUUGAAAUCUGGGUCUUUUAGGCUCCGAGUUGUAAUUUGUAGAAGAUGCUUUGGGUGCGGCCCCGGUCUAAGUUCCUUGGAACAGGACGUCAUAGAGGGUGAGAAUCCCGUAUGUGAUCGGUGGCUUGCGCCCGUGUAAAGCUCUUUCGACGAGUCGGGUUGUUUGGGAAUGCAGCUCUAAAUGGGUGGUAAAUUUCAUCUAAAGCUAAAUAUUGGCCAGAGACCGAUAGCGCACAAGUAGAGUGAUCGAAAGAUGAAAAGCACUUUGGAAAGAGAGUUAAACAGUACGUGAAAUUGUUGAAAGGGAAGCGCUUGCAACCAGACUUGCGCGGGGUUGAUCAUCCGGGGUUCUCCCCGGUGCACUCGGCCUCGCUCAGGCCAGCAUCGGUUUUGGUGGUUGGAUAAAGGCCUUGGGAAUGUGACUUCUUUCGGGGAGUGUUAUAGCCCUCGGUGCAAUGCAGCCUACCGGGACCGAGGACCGCGCUUCGGCUAGGAUGCUGGCGUAAUGGUUGUAAGCGACCCGUCUUGAAACACGGACCAAGGAGUCUAACAUCUAUGCGAGUGUUUGGGUGUCAAACCCAUACGCGUAAUGAAAGUGAACGGAGGUGAGAACCCUUAAGGGUGCAUCAUCGACCGAUCCUGAUGUCUUCGGAUGGAUUUGAGUAAGAGCAUAGCUGUUGGGACCCGAAAGAUGGUGAACUAUGCCUGAAUAGGGUGAAGCCAGAGGAAACUCUGGUGGAGGCUCGCAGCGGUUCUGACGUGCAAAUCGAUCGUCAAAUUUGGGCAUAGGGGCGAAAGACU